GGGUUCGUGGCUCAAUGGGAGAGCACUCGGUUUGCACCCGAGGGGUUCCGGGUUCGAGUCCCGGCGGAUCCA
Molecule: transfer RNA, 72 nt
Filed under: Myxococcus stipitatus DSM 14675
Lineage: Bacteria; Pseudomonadati; Myxococcota; Myxococcia; Myxococcales; Myxococcaceae
Also listed under: 13 other names
Description: tRNA-Ala (TGC) (tRNA-Ala-TGC-2-1)
Rfam family: tRNA
About the family: Transfer RNA (tRNA) molecules are approximately 80 nucleotides in length. Their secondary structure includes four short double-helical elements and three loops (D, anti-codon, and T loops).
Source: RNAcentral